UGUACAGGUGCUGAGCAACUUUGUUGAGGACUUAAAUGUUUAGUGCAAUAGGUAACUUUACAAUUUUCCAUCAGGUUCUUCUUCUACCAUGUGAUAAAAUCAUGUCUGCAAUGAGACCUCAAAGAAAGAAUUUCAAGAACUUGAGGUGAUAAGUGGGACGGACUUGUUUCUAAAACGGGAUGAAGAAGUGUUUCCAGGCACCCAGAAAAAAGGAAGAUGUGUGCAUACACAUUCCCCCAUCGAAAAGGGGGAUAUUUUUCUAAAAUAUGAAGGAAUGAUAACAAGGAAGGAGCCGAUUGGAAAUGACACAUAUGUGUUUGAAUUCCGAUUUAAGGGGGAAAAAGUGUUGGUUUGAUGGAACUACAGAAGAUGGCAGUUUUGGAAGGCUUGUAAAUGACUCCACCCACGGCAUUUGCAAAGUGCAGUGCUUUGAGGAGGAGGGUCUAUCAAGCUUAUAUUUUGUUGCCCUCCGUGACAUUCUGCCACUGGUCAGAUGCUACAGUUGACUGUGCCAGCGUCAUCUCUCGUGCAGAGAAGAAGUUGUGUAUAACUAUGGUGCAGAACCAUAUCCAUGGGGGCAAAAGGACAGGUUUGAUUUAUACACUGAUGUUGGAGCUUGGGUAAAGCCACUUGACUACAUUACCCAGCUCAGGCAGUCUGCAAUAUUCAAAGAAGUGAGGACUUUGAGUUCUUGAUGACUGCAGUGUCCAUGACUAAGAUGUUGAACUAGAUGGCCUAGAUCCAGAACUGACUACAUGGACCAAGGACGAGUUUGCCAUAUGCAGUCGCUGAUGUUGGAACUUGGGACAAGCAGUUUGAAUACAUUGCCCAGCACAGGCAGUCUGAAAUGCUGGAAUAAGACAUAUGGGGGUGCAAAACAGCAUGAAGCAAGUUCCAUUGGUUACCCUCUGGGCAGCUACGUAUGAUUCGGCCUAAAGUCUCCAUGGUCAGCCCAGGCAGCCUUCCGGCACUUUGUCAGAGGCCAGAUCAUCAGAGAUGUGAUAUUGAGAGUCAUGAGGUAGCUGCUGUCAAAGAUUGGGCUCGGAUCUGACAAGCAGCCAAUAGUUUGCCUUUUAAAGAGUGCGGCAUAUCAUUCCCACAAGGUACAUUUUAUAACAAAAUGAAUAAAUACUUGUUAUAUACAUGUGUCACCAUUAUUCAAUUGAGCUGUUCAUAAUGUUAUUAUAUUUUAAUAAGAGUGAACUGCAACCUCAGUUUUAUUGUACUUUCACCUAUAUGGAACAUGUGUUUGUAAAUGUUUUUAAUGUUUCUUACGAUUUAAGACAAAUAGUGUAAGCAUUUUUUUGUUUUGGUAAUACUAUGUGUAAUUAGUUAAAUAUUUUAGAAAAAUAUGUGCAGUACUAUAUGAUUGAAUGCAUAUACUUCACUUUCCUUAUUUUAUCCGAAGAAGAACUUCAAUGUUGAGUUUGUAAAUAUGUUUUAACAUGUUUGGUAUUCAUAUUAGUUGUUGCUAUUUUAUAUGUGUUCUGUUCUUGUAGUUAGUUCAUGUACUGUAAUAAGGUAUUGAUAAGAAAAGUUCAUUGGUUUGGUUAAAAAAUGUAUUAAGCAUUUAGAUGAUUAAUUACUAUUAUGUAUAUCUGUCAUAGACUGUAUAACUGACAAUUUGUUUUAGAUACAUAAUGUUGGAUUAAUGGUGGCUUCAAGGCACAGAAGACAUCCCAGAUACAGAUGAUUCCUUGAGUUCCAACAUCACAUGAAAUUAUUUCAUUUUUGAUUGGUAAAUGUUUGGACACUAACAACUUUAUCAGGAUUUAAGAUCAAAUAAGCAAGCAUAGAUAUACACAUAUAUAUCCAGUUCAAACUGUGUUUGAUUUCAGUUAUUAGUGCUAUGUUCAUAUUGUAUAAACCAUUAACUUCAACAAUUACAGAAGACGUGCAUUGCCCCAUCUUCUUUGUCAAGCCACCUGGCCUGACUUGUAACAGGUAUCGGGAUUCCCUGCUGGAGUAGUUGUGUGCU
This is a long non-coding RNA of Dreissena polymorpha, 1978 nucleotides long. RefSeq lists it as uncharacterized. The transcript is spliced from 7 exons. The record is from RefSeq and is a predicted model, not a curated record. NCBI's taxonomy places the organism in Eukaryota, Metazoa, Mollusca, Bivalvia, Myida, Dreissenidae.